Molecule: non-coding RNA, 239 nt
Filed under: Lyngbya sp. PCC 8106
Lineage: Bacteria; Bacillati; Cyanobacteriota; Cyanophyceae; Oscillatoriales; Microcoleaceae
Description: Region of HEARO RNA that is 5' to ORF location
Rfam family: HNH endonuclease-associated RNA and ORF (HEARO) RNA
Source: RNAcentral
GUCAGCACCCCGCUCUAAAGAGACGGGGCAUCAUGCUUCUCUUUUUAGGUAGCUAGUACCCGCCUAAGUCCCUUGAGGGCUACGUUAUCGGCAAGAGUUAACGUUCCGACCCGGAGAUGCGUGGCCAGUCUCCGGCUCUAGAACCACAGCAUUAAACAGUCCUACGAGGGGUAAGACAGUGUGUUGUGGAAAGUACCGACCGAUAACUUAUGCGAGGCAAACAUUACCCCAGAAAUGGG